This 658-nucleotide ribosomal RNA is filed under the name uncultured fungus. RNAcentral describes it as "eukaryotic LSU rRNA". It matches the Rfam family "Eukaryotic large subunit ribosomal RNA", at positions 24 to 664 of the family's 3401-position model. The record is from RNAcentral. Lineage: Eukaryota; Fungi.
CCCGCUGAACUUAAGCAUAUCAAUAAGCGGAGGAAAAGAAACUAACAAGGAUUCCCCUAGUAACGGCGAGUGAAGCGGGAACAGCUCAAAUUUGAAACCUGGCGUCCUUAGGGCGUCCGGAUUGUAUUCUAGAGAAGCGUCUUCCACGCUGGUCCACGUAUAAGUGCCCUGGAACGGGCUGUCAUAGAGGGUGAGAAUCCCGUCCUUGAUGUGGGCUACCAGUGUUUUUGUGAUGCGCUUUCUAAGAGUCGAGUUGUCUGGGAAUGCAGCUCAAAGUGGGUGGUAAAUUCCAUCUAAAGCUAAAUAUUGGGGAGAGACCGAUAGCGAACAAGUACCGUGAGGGAAAGAUGAAAAGAACUUUGUAAAGAGAGUUAAACAGUACGUGAAAUUGCUGAAAGGGAAACGCUUGAAGUCAGUCGCGUCGUUCGGGAUUCAGCUUUAGCUUCUGCUGGGUGUAUUUCCUGUUCGACGGGUCAGCAUCAGUUUUGGCCGGUGGAUAAAGGCUCAGGGAAUGUGGCAUCCUUGGAUGUGUUAUAGCCCUGGGUUGCAUACAUCGGCUGGGACUGAGGAACUCAGCACGCCGCAAGGCCAGGUUUCGACCAUGUUCGUGCUUAGGAUGCUGGCAUAAUGGCUUUAAUCGACCCGUCUUGAAACACGG